Non-coding RNA from Kogia breviceps (pygmy sperm whale), 4034 nucleotides. The record is from RefSeq and is a predicted model, not a curated record. Lineage: Eukaryota; Metazoa; Chordata; Mammalia; Artiodactyla; Physeteridae.
UGCGCCUACACUGGAUGAGUCGGAGUCCAUCCCACGUGUACUGUGUUAACUGUCAAUGUCUCCCGGAGCCCAAUUCCCGGAAGCUGUGAGUUCUGAGAGAAGUUCCUGCGCUCGGUGCCCUGAGUCUGCGAAUCCCCACCAUGAGCAACCCAGGCGUGCUGUCCUUCACCCAGCAAGCCUGGGAGCAGGUCCUGGCCAAAGUGAAACGGGCCGUGGUCUACCUGGACGCCGCCUGCGCCGAGAGCCUGCACUGGGGCUGCGGGUCCUCACGGCUGCUGGAGGCGGUGGGGAACUCUGCGUGUUACCUGCGGGAGUUCGAGCCUGCCGCAGUUGGUGGCGGAGCCGAGCAGCCCAAAGCGGUGUUUGUGUUGAGUUGCCUGCUGAAAGGCCGGACCUUGGAGACCCUACGGGACAUCAUCUGCCGCAGUCACUUCCAGUAUUGUGUGGUGGUCACGGCUGUGAAUCACGCAGUCCACCUCACGGCUAAUCAUGUGCCGCCGGCGGCGGCGGCUGAGCUGGAAGGGCAGCAGCCAGUGUUCGAGCAACUGGAGGAGAAGCUGUGUGAGUGGAUGGGCAACAUGAACUACACGGCUGAGGUGCUGCACGUCCCGUUGUUACUCGCACCUGCUGCUCCUCACCUUGCCUUGACUCCAGCUUUUGCUUCCCUUUUCCCACUAUUACCCCAGGAUGUGCAUAUCCUCAACCGUGCCCGACCGGACAAGAGGAGGCUGGGAAACCUAGCUGAGGUGGAUGCCACUACCCUAACCCCUGAGCUGCUGCUGACGAUUAGGUGCCUGGUGUCCGGCCUCAGUUCCCUGUGUGAGCAUUUAGGGGUACGGGAGGAGUGUUUUGCUGUAGGUUCCCUCAGUCGGAUCAUCGCUGCAGAUCUGGCCAAUUUUGCUCCCGCCAAGAACAGGAGGAAGACCGCCACAGGCAGGGCAUCAGUGGUCUUUGUGGACAGAACUCUGGAUCUCACAGGGGCGGUUGGACAUCAUGGAGACAACUUGGUGGAGAAGAUCCUUUCAGUGCUUCCCCAGCUUCCGUGCCACACCAAUGACGUUAUGGUUAACAUGGUGGAACUCACUGCACUCCAGGCUGAGGAGGAGAAUCAGAAUAUGGUUGCACACGGCUGUCUCGCACAAUCCAAUGACCCCGCAGCCAAAGCCCUGUGGGAAGCCUUAUUGAACACCAAGCACAAAGAGGCAGUGAUGGAAGUCCGGAGACAUCUAGUGGAAGCAGCAAGCAGAGAAAACCUGCCAAUCAAGAUGAGUAUGGGGAGAGUCACUCCAGGACAGCUCACGUCCUAUAUUCAUCUCUUCAAGAACAACCUCAAAGCUCUAAAGAAUCACUGUGGGCUCCUGCAGCUUGGGCUGGCCACUGUUCAAACUCUGAAACACCCGCAGACUGCCAAGUGGGACAACUUUCUGGCUUUUGAAAGGCUCCUUCUCCAGAGCAUUGGGGAAUCGACAAUGUCUGUUGUGUUAAAUCAGCUGCUUCCCAUGAUUAAGCCUUCGAACCAGAGGACUAAUGAUGACUACAGCCCCGAAGAGCUGCUGAUCCUCCUGAUAUAUAUUUAUUCUGUCGGUGGAGAGUUCUCAGUGGACAAAGACCUGGGUGAAGGUGAAGAAAAAGUGAAGAAAGCAUUGGCUCAAGUCUUUUGUGAGGAGUCUGAAUUGUCACCUUUGCUGCAAAAAAUCACAGGCUGUGACUCUUCAAUUAACCUGACAUUUCACAAGUCCAGAAGUGCCAUGGAUGAACUCUUUACUUCGCUUCGGGAUAUUGCUGGAGCUCGAAAUCUCAUGAAACAGUUUAAAUCUGUAUAUGUUCCUGGAAAUCAUACCCACCAGGCAUCCUAUAAGCCAUUGUUGAAGCAGGUUGUGGAGGAAAUAUUUAAUCCCGAGAGGCCAGAUCCCGUUGACAUUGAACACAUGUCUUCAGGCCUCACUGAUCUCCUUAAAACUGGAUUCAGCAUGUUCAUGAAGCACAGGUGCUUUCCCUCUCCAGUACCUAUGCAGCUCCUCAGUCAACUCCACGCCCGAACUGGUCAUCAAGACACAGCCCAUGUGAGGGAGUUCUCCCGGGGUCAUCUGCUGUUACGCUGUCUGCUUCUCUGGGACUUGGUCCCAGGACUCACUGGCAGUACAGCCCCAGGAGAAGAAAUUUGCACAGUGGUAUAAACUGCUUCCACACACUGCAUCUUCAUUCUGUAUCAGCAGCCAACAGCCAUUGCUUUCCUGCCACUUGCUGCCCUGCUCUUUGCCUCUGGGACCCGCUUUCCCCCCUUCUCACUCAAGACCCACUGAUGCUGUGCCUGAAAGGAACAGACAGAGCCUGAUGAAAUAAAGCAUGGGGCACCUGCAUGGGCCUUACACACAGCAGGCACCCGCUAAACGUUGGGAGUGGCCCUGUGAGGGCGCCCGUUCAGAGAGCAGCUUCAGUCAGUGGUUCCUCUUGCCAGCUUACUGCCCUUAAGCCGAAGCUACGUUUCAACAACUUCACGAGGGAGAGAAGGCAGCAGCCAGGCCAGUCAACUCCAGUGACCCUCACAGUAUUCCCUGACCCUCCUUUGUAGCAGCGACUAAGCAAGGCGAAGCCAGUCACUGUUCUGUCAUUAUGUCACCCCAGAGAAGCAGCGACCCACGGGCUCCCACUCACCGCCCAGCAGUGCCCUGCUGGGGGAGACGACGGAAGCCCACCUCGCCUCUGUCAGAGAAACGUGGUGGGCUCGUCUUCUGUCCACAGACGGCAUGGAAAUCUGUUUCUUCCACCUUCUUUGUCUCUCUGGGGAAGAGAACAGAAGCAAAGAGGCUGGUUUUGUAGUGUGAGGAUUCAAGGGAGCCAGCAGGAGAAAUGUCCUAACAGCGUUAGGUAGGAGGGUGAGUGUUGUCAGGGGAGGUUUUGGGGAUCACUUUUCUAUUCCAUAUCUCUCACUUUUCUGUUUGCUUUUGUAAAUAAUAGAAGGCCAUCUAGUAUAUGCUCUGUUAACACCACUCACCUCCUUCUACUGCUCAUGUUUGUUCACAAGAGGCAAUAGGGAGUGCUGGUAACAUCCGGAGUCAGAUAGUCUGGGCUAGAACUCGAGCUCCCGCACUUACCAGCUGUGUGACCAUGGGUAUGUCACUUAAGCCCUCUGUGCCUAAGUUGCCUCAUCGGUAAAAUGCGGAUGAUAAUAGUACCUACUUUACAGGACUGUGGUGAGGAUUAAAUGAGUUCAUACAUACAGAGGAUUCCCAGCAGUACCUGGCCUACAGGAAGUGCUAAGUAUGUACUUGCUAUUUUUAUUUUCCAAGUUCGUGAUCCUGGCCAGACUGUGGCUCUUGAGAAAAGAGCCACCUUGAGUGUCUUUGUAUUGCUGUACAGAGCCCGUGUGUGGGCAUUUGGUGCAUACAGAUGAACUGCUGAGUGAACAAAUGAAUCACACAGAAGAGAACUGACACCUUCCCCCAAAGUCACAAGCAUUUCCUGUCUCACUGCCGACUUGCUCUUGCUAAGAGACGUGGACUUUCUCUGCCUGUGGGCAGCCAUGUUUAUACGGCUGUGUGGUGUUUUUCCAGACCCCCUUUCUCUUCUAUCCUAUGAGUCCAGCCUUUAUGUCCUCGGUCUCAGAGGACACAGACCCUCCCUCCUGGAGCAAGGUGUGGGAGCCGGUGAAAUUCUGUGCCCGUGCCGUGACAAAAUGGCUCAAGGGUAGAGAGGCCAGCUGGGCUAGACCCUGGCCACCUGGCACGGACGCAGAAGCCCAAAACAACUCAGACCCCAGACUCCACCAGGAGCACUUCAGAAGCUCCGCCUCUGCCCCGCAAGAGCUCCUCAGUCGGCCCCAGUGCUGUAGGGAGGCCUCGGAAGUGGCUCACAGAAAUCAACCCUAUUGAUGUAAUAAAUGUCCGCAGACAGUGAAAGUUAGUAAAAAUGCCUGUGUGUCCAAGAUUCUCUGCCUCAAAUAAACCCUGUGUGAGAGGGAAGUCAAGGCAGCUGUAUUUUGCCCUUACUAAAGUCGGAACCUCAUUUGCGUCAGGCUGCAACUUGUUAAAGUC